GACACUGUAGCUCAGUGGUUAGAGCACUGGUCUUGUAAACCAGGGGUUAUGAGUUUAAAUCUCAUCAGCUGUUU
This is a non-coding RNA of Protopterus annectens (West African lungfish), 74 nucleotides long. NCBI's taxonomy places the organism in Eukaryota, Metazoa, Chordata, Ceratodontiformes, Protopteridae. The record is from the annotation of a RefSeq genome assembly.